CCUACGGGAGGCUGCAGUGAGGAAUAUUGGUCAAUGGCCGAGAGGCUGAACCAGCCAAGUCGCGUGAGGGAAGACGGCCCUACGGGUUGUAAACCUCUUUUGUCGGGGAGCAAAGCGAGUCACGUGUGACUCAUUGAGAGUACCCGAAGAAAAAGCAUCGGCUAACUCCGUGCCAGCAGCCGCGGUAAUACGAAGGGGGCAAGCGUUGUUCGGAAUUACUGGGCGUAAAGGGAGUGUAGGCGGUUUAGUAAGAUAGUGGUGAAAUCCCAGGGCUUAACUUUGGAAUUGCCAUUAUAACUAUUAGACUAGAAUUACAGAGAGGAUAGUGGAAUACCCAGUGUAGAGGUGAAAUUCGUAGAUAUUGGGUAGAACACCAGUGGCGAAGGCGACUAUCUGGCUGUACAUUGACGCUGAGGCUCGAAAGCAUGGGGAUCAAACAGGAUUAGAUACCCUUGUAGUC
Molecule: ribosomal RNA, 460 nt
Filed under: uncultured bacterium
Lineage: Bacteria
Description: partial 16S ribosomal RNA
Rfam family: Bacterial small subunit ribosomal RNA
Source: RNAcentral